Molecule: ribosomal RNA, 252 nt
Filed under: uncultured bacterium
Lineage: Bacteria
Description: partial 16S ribosomal RNA
Rfam family: Bacterial small subunit ribosomal RNA
Source: RNAcentral
UACGGGGGGGCAAGCGUUGUUCGGAAUUCCUGGGCGUAAAGGGCUCGUAGGUGGCCAACUAAGUCAGACGUGAAAUCCCUCGGCUUAACCGGGGAACUGCAUCUGAUACUGGAUGGCUUGAGUUUGGGAGAGGGAUGCGGAAUUCCAGGUGUAGCGGUGAAAUGCGUAGAUAUCUGGAGGAACACCGGUGGCGAAGGCGGCAUCCUGGACCAACACUGACACUGAGGAGCGAAAGCCAGGGGAGCAAACGGG